AUAGUAUGGUAGGGGCAUUUACAAAUAAGGUCUCUUAACCUUUCUCAUGUCUCAUGAAAAAGUUCACCAUCCAAUUGAAAAAAACUAGUAAUGACUUUUUAAUUU
Molecule: small nucleolar RNA, 105 nt
Organism: Elaeis guineensis (African oil palm)
Lineage: Eukaryota; Viridiplantae; Streptophyta; Magnoliopsida; Arecales; Arecaceae
Source: RefSeq, a predicted model, not a curated record